Long non-coding RNA from Gymnodraco acuticeps, 673 nucleotides. RefSeq lists it as uncharacterized. The transcript is spliced from 2 exons. Lineage: Eukaryota; Metazoa; Chordata; Actinopteri; Perciformes; Bathydraconidae. The record is from RefSeq and is a predicted model, not a curated record.
GGCUCAACCUGACUAUUCCCUGUGUUUUUGUUUUUUAUAUUUCUGUUGUAAAUUAUUGUCUUUUAUUGUGAUAGUAAUGUGUUUUUAUUACAAGUACAGCACUUUGGCUCGACCAAAGUCUUGAACCAGCAUGACCAGCAUGACCAGCCUGGCCAGCUUGUCCAGCCUGGUAAACCAACUAAACCAGCCUAACACCAGCUAAAACCAGCCAAGCAACCCGGGAAACUGGCUAUGGACGUUUGUUCACUUUCUUCUAGCUCUUAUUAUUAUUUAUAACAUCUGUUUUUGUGUUUAAUCCAUAGAGCUGAGUAUGAGCAUUUCCCCUCCUGGAUUGAGCCAGGAGGAUCUAUUACUCUGUCAAAGCUCCUCUCCCUCUGGGGGAACCUUGUCUGCUUUCAGUGUAGGGACUGCAUGGUGUGACACUUUAAAAGGGUGAGUAAACUAACUCACUGUAAUAAUUUUGUAGAAGUUGUGCUUUGAGUAGUGCGUGCUUUUGUUCUCUUUUUGUCCCUCACAGUUAGCAGGCAUUGUGACCUAGUGGACCAGACCUGCCCAUCUGAGGAGGGAAAACCCACCAUGUAAUAGUGUAAAGUAUGUUUACCCGUUGACUGCUGCUGAACAUUGACAUUUUAACAUGUAUAUUUGUGAAAUAAAGCUGCAUUCUAUUUGGUAA